AUUGAACGCUGGCGGCAUGCCUUACACAUGCAAGUCGAACGGCAGCACGGGAGCAAUCCUGGUGGCGAGUGGCGAACGGGUGAGUAAUAUAUCGGAACGUGCCCAGUAGUGGGGGAUAGCCCGGCGAAAGCCGGAUUAAUACCGCAUGAGACCUGAGGGUGAAAGCGGGGGAUCGCAAGACCUCGCGCUACUGGAGCGGCCGAUAUCAGAUUAGCUAGUUGGUGGGGUAAAGGCCUACCAAGGCAACGAUCUGUAGUUGGUCUGAGAGGACGACCAGCCACACUGGGACUGAGACACGGCCCAGACUCCUACGGGAGGCAGCAGUGGGGAAUUUUGGACAAUGGGCGCAAGCCUGAUCCAGCAAUGCCGCGUGCAGGAAGAAGGCCUUCGGGUUGUAAACUGCUUUUGUCAGGGAAGAAAUCCUCUGGGUUAAUACCUCGGGGGGAUGACGGUACCUGAAGAAUAAGCACCGGCUAACUACGUG
Molecule: ribosomal RNA, 484 nt
Filed under: uncultured bacterium
Lineage: Bacteria
Description: bacterial SSU rRNA
Rfam family: Bacterial small subunit ribosomal RNA
Source: RNAcentral